CUGCGAAUAUUCUCGCUGUUCUGAUUUUUGUAAUGAUCAGAACAGGCUAAACAUUCGCUAUAUUAAGACCACACCUGUGUCCCCAGACCUCCUUCUUUCCCUGGGUCUGGUUUUCUAAAUGCUGGUGAUAAAC
Small nucleolar RNA from Spermophilus dauricus (Daurian ground squirrel), 133 nucleotides. Its record names the gene SNORA72. It matches the Rfam family "Small nucleolar RNA SNORA72". Rfam says of the family: U72 is a member of the H/ACA class of snoRNAs. The snoRNA gene is located in intron 4 of the ribosomal L30 protein gene in human, mouse and chicken. The record is from Ensembl. Lineage: Eukaryota; Metazoa; Chordata; Mammalia; Rodentia; Sciuridae.